RNAcentral lists this ribosomal RNA (254 nucleotides) under uncultured bacterium. RNAcentral describes it as "partial 16S ribosomal RNA". It matches the Rfam family "Bacterial small subunit ribosomal RNA", at positions 524 to 776 of the family's 1533-position model. The record is from RNAcentral.
UACGUAGGGUGCGAGCGUUGUCCGGAAUUAUUGGGCGUAAAGAGCUCGUAGGCGGUGUGUCGCGUCGGCCGUGAAAACCUGCAGCUUAACUGUGGGCGUGCGGUCGAUACGGGCAUCACUGGAGUUCGGCAGGGGAGACUGGAAUUCCUGGUGUAGCGGUGAAAUGCGCAGAUAUCAGGAGGAGCACCGGUGGCGAAGGCGGGUCUCUGGGCCGAUACUGACGCUGAGGUGCGAAAGCGUGGGGAGCAAACAGG